UUUCUCUCUUUUCUUGCUACGAGCUGCUGGUUUUCUUUUGCCCUGUUACAUCAUGGCUUGGGCCAUCAGCAUCUUGCAACGUCGAAGGCAAAGACAGGUUGGUAUCUACUUCAGUUCUAAUCUUUUAUGUUCAUCAUUAUGCAAAAAUCUGUAUAAUUUGAUGAUACAGGAGGCUGCAGCAUUGGCGGCAACACAAGUUGCUUUUGUGCUUCAAUCGGGCCAACAUAGGGGUCUGCAGUUCACAAUAGCCUCAGGACCUCAUGUAGCUCCACACCAGGAUCCUGUUUAACUAUGAAAAACCGAGGGAGAGGAUAAGUUGAAGAGAAUUCCCAAUUAAUAAUGUUUGUAUUUUAAACAAUAUCCCCCCUUCUUCUCGGGGCUAAAAAAAAAAAAAGUGUGAAUCAUGAUCUCGAUUGGCAUACUUUAUCUUGUUUCCUUUCCAUAAGAUGUACAUAUGACCAUAUUUCCAAUGUAUUUUUAACUUUUUUUUUUUUUGUAA
Molecule: unclassified non-coding RNA, 499 nt
Filed under: Hevea brasiliensis (rubber tree)
Lineage: Eukaryota; Viridiplantae; Streptophyta; Magnoliopsida; Malpighiales; Euphorbiaceae
Source: RNAcentral